AGUUUGAUUCUUGCUGCUUUGUUCAGUGUUUUUUUGUUUUAUAUGUGAGUUUUUGCGUGGUUGAAUUUUCUUUUCUCUUAAUGGGGUUUGGUCUAUUAGAUAUUUAUUUUGUUCACAUUAUUUAUUUUUAUAUCUUUUGGUCUCAUUGAUUUAGCAAUAAUUUUUAAGUGCCGGCUAAGUUUGUGCCAGCAGCCGCGGUUAUACAUUAGGCACUACUGAACACUUUCGGUUGUGCAGUUGUAUAUUAUUCUGUAUUUUGUUGUUUUUAAUUAUUUGGUUUAUGGGUAAAAUCUUUAAUAUUUUUAUUUGCAUUGUUUAUUUUAUUAGGCUGCGAAAUCUUUGUUGUAAACUAGGAUUAGAUACCCUAUUAUUUUUGAUGUUAAUCGUGCUUUCCUGGGUAGUAUUAGUUAUGUUCUUGAAACCUAAAGAAUUUGGCGGUAUUUUAUUCCUUCCAGAGGAAUCUGCCCCUUAAUCGAUAAUCCACGUUGGACCUUACUUAAUUUAUAUUUGUUUGUAUACCGCCGUUGUAGUGAAGAUCUCCUUAGUGUUUAUUAAAUUUUCUGAUUUCUUUAUUUUGGAUUUAUUUCAGGUCAAGGUGCAGCUUGUUUUUAAGUGUGAGGUGGAUUACAUUAUAUAUUGUUUUGUGGAUUGUCAGUUGGAAUUUGAUAUGAAAUUGGAUUUGGUUGUAAUUUAUUUUAUGAUGUUUUUAUGAUAUUGGUUCUAAAAUAUGUACACAUCGCCCGUCGCUCUCAUUUGUCAUUGAGAUAAGUCGUAACAAAGUGGUCGUACCGGAAGGUGUGGCU
This 803-nucleotide non-coding RNA is filed under the name Comatermes perfectus. Lineage: Eukaryota; Metazoa; Arthropoda; Insecta; Blattodea; Kalotermitidae. The record is from RNAcentral.